GACAGAGGGGGCGAGCGUUGCUCGGAAUCACUGGGCGUAAAGCGCGUGUAGGCGGUCAGGCAAGUCAGAUGUGAAAGCCCCUGGCUUAACCAGGGAAGUGCAUUUGAAACUGCUUGGCUGGAGUACGGGAGAGGAGAGUGGAAUUCCCGGUGUAGAGGUGAAAUUCGUAGAUAUCGGGAGGAACACCGGUGGCGAAGGCGGCUCUCUGGCCCGAUACUGACGCUGAGACGCGAAAGCGUGGGGAGCAAACAGG
This 253-nucleotide ribosomal RNA is filed under the name uncultured bacterium. RNAcentral describes it as "partial 16S ribosomal RNA". It matches the Rfam family "Bacterial small subunit ribosomal RNA", at positions 524 to 776 of the family's 1533-position model. The record is from RNAcentral.